ACAACCUAAAACAGAGAGGGAUACAUUGGAUGUGACCGUGGGGACUGUGCACAAAAGUGCCCUUUGCUUAAUCAAAGCACGUGGUUGAAAAUCAGGACCCAUGGUAUAUGCACGGUGGGAGACAACCUAAUCAAGUUUCAUAAAUCAUCACAAAAUUGAAGCGAGGACCAAGACUCACAGAAAACAUGACUGAGCAAAUUACAGACCAUGAACACGCUUGAGAAAAUUUAAAACAGAAGGUGGACGCAUCUACACGCAAUGAUCUGAAUACAGUCAUUAUAUCCUCAUUAAAUGCAAGGGGGAAAUCCUUAAAUACUGUGUUCUCUCCAGAGAAUAAAAGUUUUCAGGAGUUUUUACUAUCUAA
Long non-coding RNA from Panthera uncia (snow leopard), 364 nucleotides. RefSeq lists it as uncharacterized. The record is from RefSeq and is a predicted model, not a curated record. NCBI's taxonomy places the organism in Eukaryota, Metazoa, Chordata, Mammalia, Carnivora, Felidae. The transcript has 2 exons.